AAGGCCUUUAACAAAAUCAUUUGAUGUUGCUUCAAUUAGACGGAAAUAUAUAUGUGUAGACAUAUAUGCGUACCCACACAUAAUCUUAUUUCCUUGUCCUGUUUGUCUAGAAGAGGAAGAUCCAAGUUAUCUUGCCCCACCAAUCAGCAGCAGGCGAGUGGAGGGCAGGCUAGCGGAGGGGAUAGGUAGACUUUCCCGUGUAACGGUCUGGGGCUGGGUCAUUACUGCAUAUUUAGUUUUUCUUCAAUUGCAUCUUUCUCCCAUAAACACUAAGGUCUUUAGAGCAUUUUCCUAUCACCAUUGUUUUUCUUUUCGCGCAGCUGCGCACAUGUUAAUAUUAGCCAUCCCUCUGUCGUCCUCUCUGGGGGACCUCGCUCAAAUUUACGGAGUGGAGGAAAAGGGAUGCUAUGAUUAAUAUGUGCCCUCUUAAAAAAUUGGAAGCUUGGGGGUGGGCUGACUUUUCAAAAUGCUAACUUGUGCGUGGGAACCAGAAAGACUUGUGUUUUUCAUCAAAUGCAAAAAUCAGCAUUUGGGGGAAAAAUUCACAUAAUGCGUUUUCCAUGAAAUCGCAUCGUUCUUGAGAUGGCUCUUCCGAAUGGAAAGAGAGUCGUGCAGAUUGUUGGCGCCAUCAGGCCGUGUGUAGAGCAGGAUUUCAUCGAAAGUGAAAUUAAAAAUAAAGGGCCGGUUUGGAGAUUUAAUUACAGUUCUUUGUGUUAGAGUUUGCAAAGUGAAUCUGGAAUACUAUUUGGCUAUCUAGGAGAAUUUGUCGCGCGGGUCAUUUGGAGAUCCCGAGAGCGCCAAGCUGGGGAAGUAGGGCGGGGGCGCCGGCGUUUAUGCCGUCUUUCCACCCACCCUCGCCUAAUCAGGCGGCUCUCAAUCAGGUUUUCAAAAUACUAAUCUUGAUCUAAGAGCGCCUAUCUCUGCAUAAGUGGAGGAAAUGAUUCAUUUUUAGAGGCUUCUGGGCUUGGGGAAGAAGAAUGGUCGUCAGACAUGGGGAGAAGACCUGAAAGACUGGUCUGGCGUCGCUUUACUCCAGGCGCUCGGCAAAAUGCUGACAGGUCCCCCGGUGAGUUGCGCGCACCCAGCUUUGUCCGAUAGGCCUUGGGCGAAUGAGCAACAAAGCAAGAUCAGUGGCAGAAACCUGAACCUGUUUCUACAGCAGUGUCAAAGUACACAGUGGAGAGAACAAAAAAAUCUAACUCUCUAGCCGCUUCCCGGUUAUAGAAUACAAUGUCUAAUUAUCCGUGAAUAGAUCAAAACCUGGAUUGAACAUUGCCGGCUGAGAUUCAAAGGCUUGGGCUCAGCUCUUUUCCACCUAGACAAAACUCUGGUUACUGUGUGGAGUAAGCAGAAGCUGUGGUGCCUGGUUCAGAUUGUGUGAAGGCAUCGCAUCUCACCCUCUGUCCCGCUUGGGAGAAGAAGUCUUUAGAAAUGGGCUCCACAAAACAAACAGGUGAAUAAAAUUGAUCCCUACAGGUUUUCCUGCAGCUGUAGGUUUUGAGCACCCUGUGAUAUUCUGACUCUCUGAAACCCAGUCCAAUGACAGGCAUCAGACAAUGAACGUUUGCUUUUUGAAUGAGAGAAUGUAUGUGCUGGCAAGCACAGAGAGUUUCAUGCCUUUCUCCACCUUCUUAGUUCUAGCGCCUCUUACUUUGCUUUGGUUACCUUCUUGCCCAGUUCCUGCAUCUUGAAGUUCUGACAUAACUGAGGGGAUUUCUGGGCUCCACUUUUCACCUAGGAUGAGAGGCUUAUAAUCUUCAAUGGAUCCUCAGACAUCGUGUUGGCAAUUAAAUUAGGAAACCUGCUCUAGGUGCCUAAGAGACCAUCCCAGUCUGAGACUCUUUUUAUAGAGGAGCUUAUCAGAAAUCGGAGUAGGAAUGUGCUGGAUCAGUAGAAACCUGGGGCAAGCUUCCUAUAGACCCACUCUGAAUGCACACAGGGAAAUGCUGUGCACAUUGGCUGGACGUUGACAUAGGUUUUAGCUUGUUCCAGGAUAAGAAGGGGACCCAGAGUGGACAAUCUGAAUGGCAGCCGAGGUCAUUCAGAGCCAGAUGCUGCUGCAAGCAAUCCUUCCUGACCUGGAAAAUAGAUGCAUCCUCGAUUACAGUCCACGAGAUGGAGAAAGAAUGCCAAGGAACUCACAGGUGGUGGAUGGAGUCUUAAUUAUUGAGCCUGACAGGUCCCUGCUCUGUGCCAGGUCCCAGUUGUGUGUCCUGGGUACCUUGGUGGCUUAGUCUGCCAUCCUUGUCUGGACUCACCAUGCAACUUGAUGGCUGGAGUCCUGAAGUCCUGGAAAAGGACUGGAAGAGGCCUGGAGACCUGGAAUGGUUGAACCAGCCUCUGAGGUGUUGAAUUUACCCAACACUAAGAGGGAAAACACUAGGGCUUUAUUCUGAAAACUCCAGUUUCCUGUCAGAUGAAACCAAGAAGAUUUGCAAAUUCAGACAUAGCUGCUACAGGCUUAUAAACAUGGCAGAACUACUCAUUUUUGAAGUGGUUAAUCCCACUCAUCCAUCAAAUAGCCGCCCCUUCCUCAGGAGAAGCUCCAACAGACAUUUUUGUAAAAGGCAUCUUUACAUUACACCAUCUUUUGGUAAUAACACCUUGACCUGGCUAAGAGUUUUUCAGUUUGCACCAUUAUUGCUUUUGAGUCUUAAAGUCAGAAGAAGCAAUAUGCAGCAGUUUCUUCUGAAGAUUUAAUAUAUGCAAUGCCUUUUCAAGGUUUCUUCCUCCUAACCCUCCACUUCAGAACACUUUUGCCCUGCUUCAGUAAUUUUAGGAAUAUUGGGGGGGAGAACCUUCCAUAUUAAAAAAAAUAAUCUGUAUUAAUCUAUGUAAAUCUGUCUUUUAAAGGUCAGCAUGGAGGAAAGAAAUAGGUAGUUUGUAAACUAAGCCAAAAUUGCUGCUUCAUUAACCCACCCCUCCCCCAGGAUGAGGUAACUUUUUUCCUAACAAGACUUUACAGUUUCAGAGAUAAAUGUGCACUUUUUAAAAAGAAGUAUCAUCGAUUAUUUAGCGUUACCCAAUAUAUAAAGUCCUAAUAGUCAUCUAUGAGGUAGAUAUUACUAUGCCUGAUUCACAGAGGGGUAACCUGAAUCUCUUAGAGGCAGCACAAAUUCUCAGGACAAAUUAGCGACAGAGGCUGAACCGGAACCCAUUUCAACGUCUUAACCAUU
Microcebus murinus (gray mouse lemur) is the source of this 3176-nucleotide non-coding RNA. The record is from RefSeq and is a predicted model, not a curated record. Lineage: Eukaryota; Metazoa; Chordata; Mammalia; Primates; Cheirogaleidae.